Podarcis lilfordi (Lilford's wall lizard) is the source of this 74-nucleotide non-coding RNA. The record is from the annotation of a GenBank genome assembly. NCBI's taxonomy places the organism in Eukaryota, Metazoa, Chordata, Lepidosauria, Squamata, Lacertidae.
GAGGGUCUGCAGCUUAGUGGUAGAGCAUUUGCUCUGCAUGCAGAUGGUCCUACGUUAAAUCCCUGGCAUCUUUA